This 253-nucleotide ribosomal RNA is filed under the name uncultured bacterium. RNAcentral describes it as "partial 16S ribosomal RNA". It matches the Rfam family "Bacterial small subunit ribosomal RNA", at positions 524 to 776 of the family's 1533-position model. The record is from RNAcentral.
UACGAAGGGGGCUAGCGUUGCUCGGAAUUACUGGGCGUAAAGGGCGCGUAGGCGGCACUGUUAGUCAGGCGUGAAAGUCCUGGGCUCAACCUGGGAACUGCGCUUGAUACGGCAGAGCUAGAGGAUGGAAGAGGGUCGCGGAAUUCCCAGUGUAGAGGUGAAAUUCGUAGAUAUUGGGAAGAACACCGGUGGCGAAGGCGGCGACCUGGUCCAUUACUGACGCUGAGGUGCGAAAACGUGGGGAGCAAACAGG